AAGUCGUAACAAGGUUUCCGUAGGUGAACCUGCGGAAGGAUCAUGUAAACGUUCUUUUGAAAGGAAGGGUGCCGGAUGUGUGGCACUUUAGUGGGCUGCACAGACGCCCCUUCCUCCAAACCCAUCGCGAACUGGAAUUCGUAGCAGACAAGAGGGGGACAGAGGAUGGAGGGUGAUGGUUGGGUGCGAGAGUUCGAGGCUCGAACUCUCGCGCCUGCCGCCACGUUCCGCUUCUUUUCCUUUCUUCUGCGCACAUUUUUUUCUCAAAACCACUUUUUUCACAAAUUUCAACGUAACGAACAUGUGUUGGAAUGCAAAAAAAAGGGAAUUUUUUCUCUUUUUUUUUCUCCGACCGCAUAUCAAUUUAUCAACUGCAAAAGAGAUAAAGAACAACUCUUAGCAACGGAUAUCUUGGUUCCC
This 420-nucleotide unclassified non-coding RNA is filed under the name fungal sp. RNAcentral's name for it is "partial internal transcribed spacer region". The stretch from base 1 to 46 matches the Rfam family "Eukaryotic small subunit ribosomal RNA", at positions 1786 to 1831 of the family's 1831-position model. Lineage: Eukaryota; Fungi. The record is from RNAcentral.